This 67-nucleotide transfer RNA is filed under the name Marmota monax (woodchuck). RNAcentral describes it as "tRNA.Arg". Lineage: Eukaryota; Metazoa; Chordata; Mammalia; Rodentia; Sciuridae. The record is from RNAcentral.
GCAGUGUAGAUCAGUGGUAGAGCACUUGCUUACGAGGCACAAGGCCCUGGGUUCAAUUCCCAGUGCA